Non-coding RNA from Poecilia reticulata (guppy), 251 nucleotides. Lineage: Eukaryota; Metazoa; Chordata; Actinopteri; Cyprinodontiformes; Poeciliidae. The record is from RefSeq and is a predicted model, not a curated record.
AGGUGGAAGAGGCAAUCGCUGUCUUGCAGGCUCACAAGGCAAAAGAGUGUUCUCCAAAAAAGUGAAAUGAUUUAAGGUGUGAACAUUGUUCUAGAGGAGAAAAAGGUUCUAUAUCAAUUUUGGGGGAAAAAGAGCAAAGAAUAAAACUCUUGACAUGUUUAGAAUGAUAGUGAAAUGUUUCUGAAAUUCAAGCUAUUUUGUUGUUGCAGUGACUUUUGUUAGAAGUUAAAGUUUUCAGAAUAUGCAUUAAA